AUACUUACCUGGCAGGGGAGACACCUUGAUCAUGAAGGAGGUUUUCUCAAGGUGAGGCUUAGCCACUGCACUCUGGCUGAGCUGACCCCUGCAAUUUCCCCAAAUGCAGGAAAUUCGAAUGCAUAGUUUAUGAUAGCAGGGGACUGCAUGCAAAACAAUU
This 160-nucleotide small nuclear RNA is filed under the name Salvator merianae (Argentine black and white tegu). RNAcentral describes it as "U1 spliceosomal RNA (ENSSMRG00000021961.1)". It matches the Rfam family "U1 spliceosomal RNA". From Rfam's summary of the family: U1 is a small nuclear RNA (snRNA) component of the spliceosome (involved in pre-mRNA splicing). Its 5' end forms complementary base pairs with the 5' splice junction, thus defining the 5' donor site of an intron. Lineage: Eukaryota; Metazoa; Chordata; Lepidosauria; Squamata; Teiidae. The record is from RNAcentral.